GACGAACGCUGGCGGCGUGCUUAACACAUGCAAGUCGAACGGAAAGGCGCUGCUUGCAGGGUACUCGCGUGGCGAACGGGUGCGUAACACGUGGGUGAUCUGCCCUGCACUUCGGGAUAAGCCUGGGAAACUGGGUCUAAUACCGGAUAGGAGCCAUUUUUAGUGUGAUGGUUGGAAAGUUUUUUCGGUGUAUGAUGAGCUCGCGGCCUAUCAGCUUGUUGGUGGGGUAAUGGCCUACCAAGGCGGCGACGGGUAGCCGGCCUGAGAGGGUGGACGGCGACAUUGGGACUGAGAUACGGCCCAGACUCCGACGGGAGGCAGCAGGGGGGAAUAUUGCACGAUGGGCGCAAGCCUGAUGCAGCGACGCCGCGUGUGGGAUGACGGCCUUCGGGUUGUAAACUCCUUUCGCUAGGGACGAAGCUUUUUUUGACGGUACCUAGAUAAGAAGCACCGGCUAACUACGUG
Molecule: ribosomal RNA, 465 nt
Filed under: uncultured bacterium
Lineage: Bacteria
Description: partial 16S ribosomal RNA
Rfam family: Bacterial small subunit ribosomal RNA
Source: RNAcentral